GGAUUGUGUCUCCGUGGCAGAGUGCUUGCCUAGCAUGCAUGAGGCACUGGGUUCGAUCCUCAGCACCA
RNAcentral lists this transfer RNA (68 nucleotides) under Marmota monax (woodchuck). Its description in RNAcentral is "tRNA.Ala". Lineage: Eukaryota; Metazoa; Chordata; Mammalia; Rodentia; Sciuridae. The record is from RNAcentral.